CCGAGCACUCUUUGCCACCUGUCCUCGUCCGCAGAGAAGUCCUGGCUCUGGAACACCGUGGAAAUACCUCCCCGAUGGACUCACCGAGAGCCGGGAGGGCUCCUGGAGCAGCGGAGAGGGGGAAAGCAGAGGGAGAUCGGGAGGGACACGCAGGUUUGUAGUCAAGCUUGGACUCCAGCUUCUUGGAAUCAGCCACUUUCCUGACAGCUUUCAUGAAAUCUUCCUGAACUACGAAGUCAUGAUCAGCACGGAUAGCAAACAUCCCUGGGAGGGAGGAUUUAACAGUGUGAAGACAGAACAUGAAGUUUCACUCAAAAUUCUAAUGAAAACUGAUCCAGGUUACACUACCUACAUGACUUUCCCAUGUCUUGGAUGUUGGUGAGAGGAGGAAAUUCACCUUUCUGAACUAGGGGAUUACUAAAAACAAAACUUGUUUAAACUCUCA
Non-coding RNA from Sturnus vulgaris (Common starling), 445 nucleotides. NCBI's taxonomy places the organism in Eukaryota, Metazoa, Chordata, Aves, Passeriformes, Sturnidae. The record is from RefSeq and is a predicted model, not a curated record.